This 546-nucleotide ribosomal RNA is filed under the name Pseudomonas aeruginosa. RNAcentral describes it as "bacterial SSU rRNA". It matches the Rfam family "Bacterial small subunit ribosomal RNA", at positions 116 to 658 of the family's 1533-position model. Lineage: Bacteria; Pseudomonadati; Pseudomonadota; Gammaproteobacteria; Pseudomonadales; Pseudomonadaceae. The record is from RNAcentral.
CCUAGGAAUCUGCCUGGUAGUGGGGGAUAACGUCCGGAAACGGGCGCUAAUACCGCAUACGUCCUGAGGGAGAAAGUGGGGGAUCUUCGGACCUCACGCUAUCAGAUGAGCCUAGGUCGGAUUAGCUAGUUGGUGGGGUAAAGGCCUACCAAGGCGACGAUCCGUAACUGGUCUGAGAGGAUGAUCAGUCACACUGGAACUGAGACACGGUCCAGACUCCUACGGGAGGCAGCAGUGGGGAAUAUUGGACAAUGGGCGAAAGCCUGAUCCAGCCAUGCCGCGUGUGUGAAGAAGGUCUUCGGAUUGUAAAGCACUUUAAGUUGGGAGGAAGGGCAGUAAGUUAAUACCUUGCUGUUUUGACGUUACCAACAGAAUAAGCACCGGCUAACUUCGUGCCAGCAGCCGCGGUAAUACGAAGGGUGCAAGCGUUAAUCGGAAUUACUGGGCGUAAAGCGCGCGUAGGUGGUUCAGCAAGUUGGAUGUGAAAUCCCCGGGCUCAACCUGGGAACUGCAUCCAAAACUACUGAGCUAGAGUACGGUAGAGGG